UGCGAGGUAGCACAGAGGAAGGGCGCAUGGCUCAUAACCAUGAGGUCGGUGGAUCGAAACCACCUCUCGCAA
Molecule: transfer RNA, 72 nt
Filed under: Friedmanniomyces endolithicus
Lineage: Eukaryota; Fungi; Ascomycota; Dothideomycetes; Mycosphaerellales; Teratosphaeriaceae
Description: tRNA-iMet
Rfam family: tRNA
About the family: Transfer RNA (tRNA) molecules are approximately 80 nucleotides in length. Their secondary structure includes four short double-helical elements and three loops (D, anti-codon, and T loops).
Source: RNAcentral